UAGCUAGUUGGUGAGGUAACGGCUUACCAAGGCGACGAUCUGUAGCGGGUCUGAGAGGAUGAUCCGCCACACUGGAACUGAGACACGGUCCAGACUCCUACGGGAGGCAGCAGUGGGGAAUUUUGGACAAUGGGGGCAACCCUGAUCCAGCCAUGCCGCGUGAGUGAAGAAGGCCUUCGGGUUGUAAAGCUCUUUCGGCCGGGAAGAAAUCGCAUGGGCCAAUACCCUGUGUGGAUGACGGUACCGGAAUAAGAAGCACCGGCUAACUACGUGCCAGCAGCCGCGGUAAUACGUAGGGUGCGAGCGUUAAUCGGAAUUACUGGGCGUAAAGCGUGCGCAGGCGGUUUUGUAGGACAGGCGUGAAAUCCCCGGGCUCAACCUGGGAACUGCGUUUGUGACUGCAAGGCUAGAGUACGGCAGAGGGGGGUGGAAUUCCACGUGUAGCAGUGAAAUGCGUAGAGAUGUGGAGGAACACCAAUGGCGAAGGCAGCCCCCUGGGUCGAUACUGACGCUCAUGCACGAAAGCGUGGGUAGCAAACAGGAUUAGAUACCCUGGUAGUCCACGCCCUAAACUAUGUCAACUAGGUGUUGGGUGGGUAAAACCAUUUAGUACCGUAGCUAACGCGUGAAGUUGACCGCCUGGGGAGUACGGCCGCAAGGUUAAAACUCAAAGGAAUUGACGGGGACCCGCACAAGCGGUGGAUGAUGUGGAUUAAUUCGAUGCAACGCGAAAAACCUUACCUACCCUUGACAUGCCAGGAACUUGCCAGAGAUGGCUUGGUGCCCGAAAGGGAGCCUGGACACAGGUGCUGCAUGGCUGUCGUCAGCUCGUGUCGUGAGAUGUUGGGUUAAGUCCCGCAACGAGCGCAACCCUUGUCGUUAAUUGCCAUCAUUUAGUUGGGCACUUUAGCGAGACUGCCGGUGACAAACCGGAGGAAGGUGGGGGUGACGUCAAGUCCUCAUGGCCCUUAUGGGUAGGGCUUCACACGUCAUACAAUGGUCGGUACAAAGGGUCGCCAAGCCGCGAGGUGGAGCCAAUCCCAGAAAGCCGAUCGUAGUCCGGAUUGCAGGCUGCAACUCGCCUGCAUGAAGUCGGAAUCGCUAGUAAUCGUGGAUCAGCAUGUCACGGUGAAUACGUUCCCGGGUCUUGUACACACCGCCCGUCACACCAUGGGAGCGGGUUCCGCCAGAAGUAGGUAGCCUAACCGCAAGGAGGGCGCUUACCACGGCGGGGUUCGUGACUGGGGUGAAGUCGUAACAAGGUAGCCGUAGGGGAACCUGCGGCUG
Molecule: ribosomal RNA, 1287 nt
Filed under: metagenome
Description: bacterial SSU rRNA
Rfam family: Bacterial small subunit ribosomal RNA
Source: RNAcentral